Molecule: long non-coding RNA, 1809 nt
Organism: Lagopus leucura (white-tailed ptarmigan)
Lineage: Eukaryota; Metazoa; Chordata; Aves; Galliformes; Phasianidae
Exons: 8
Source: RefSeq, a predicted model, not a curated record
UCGUGGAGGUGUGGGGGUGACGGCUGCGUAUGACCGGGUCUCUCCGAGAUCACUGUGGUCUCGGCCACCCGCUGGUAUCUGCUCACCGGGGGUGCUGGGUGAAAGCGGUGGUCUGCAAAAUGACUACGCUAUGUGUGAGUUUGAUAGGAGUCACCAUGGUGAGGAAAGGAAUAAUGGAUUUUCAGUCAUGGCUUCCUUCUUCCCCCGGAGAGCAAUGAGUCUGUUUCCCUUUUUCAAUAACAGCUUUAUUACAGCAUGUUAAAGGGAAACAAGAAGAUGAACAGACCGGGCCUGGCUGUGCAGCGAUCACUCUUCUGAGGAGCCUGUGUGAAGAGAUGCUGGUCUGGGAGUCAAUCUGAGGAAAAGCAGAAGAUAUUUGCUUUAUAUCUGAAGUAUUAUUCAAGUUCACUCCAGAAGACAAGAGAACUGUUGGUACAUGAUUUAUAUAAAGCUCUAAGACCUGGUGCUGAAGGAAACUUCUCUCAGAAGCGUACGUUUAUUGUUUGAUACCUUUGGUGAUACGUGCUGCUUCAUCUACCAUCUCUUUAUAUCUUUCAUGGAAAGGCUCCUGUACAUCACUGAAUCCAAGUGUGGGCACAAUUGCAGAUGGCUGUAAAGACAUGCAGUUUGAAGGAUAUUUAUAUUAUCAGUGUGGUGUAUAGAAACCCAGAUCUACAUGUGCAGGAGUGAAGUCACUGCCUGGCAGAUCUCUCAGCGAUGUCUCAGAAGGAAAGGAAAGCGCUGGUGGGGCUGUGCAGUGGCAGCACAGGGAGAAGUGCUGGGGCUGUGUGAUGGCACGGAGACGGCACUGCAAGGAGGGAGGAAGAGUGAGUGAACCGGCGAGCAGCACGAGCCCAGGGCAGAAACAGACAUCAUCUGGAACUGUCUGCCCACCAAUGCUUUAGAAACAACACUGAUAAUAACAAAGCAUAAACUGGAAAGAUGGCCAUUAUUUGUAAUCACAGGUUUUUAAGCCCAGGACAGUGUGCGCAUUAUAUAACUGCUCUACGCAUACCUUCAGCAUGAAUAUGGAGAAUACAUAUAUCAAGAGCUACAAGAUGAUGAGGCAGGAAGCAAGUUACAUCUUGGAGAAAUUGCCCUCAGGAGAGAGGAAAAACUAUUGCGAGGUUGACAGCACAACCUUGUAGCAGCGCAGUUUGCCUUUCCCAGUGGUUCAAGGAGUUCCAAGCACCCUCUUGUAAAUCAUCGGCUCACAUCUAUUUAUUAUCUUCCAGCCCAGUGCACAACACUAUCUGUUACACACGGAUACCGGCAAUAUUACAAGGUGGACUCCAGGGAUAAGAGACAGCCAACCCCGCACACCUCCCACGCCUGAGUCAUACCCGGGGUAAUGCCAGGUCCUGCUCAUACCUGCUGUCGGCAGAAAUGAAACAGUACGAGCUGUUGUGUUUCAGAGCCUUUUUUAAUUGAUUCUCCAGAAUGCUUGAUCUUACCUGCUGAUAUCCCUGUGUUAUUAUUCAGAGGCACAGUCUAUCUGCAUAGCAAUGGACAAAAUGCCUGUGAAAAUAUUGCUAUUCAUUCAGUCGAUGUCGGAACUGGAGUAGGCACCAGCUACACUCUGCAAUGCUUGUCCUGGAAUAUUAAUAAAUAAAUCAUAAAAGCCAAUGCUUCAAAUAUUGAAAAAUUCACACUUCAAACUGUGUUUUGAACUAUACUGAGAGCAAUGUCUCAGAUUGUCCUUUUGCUUUAUAUGAACAGAGGAAAUUCAAAGUAGGAGGAACUCUCUCUGGGGAUUUGGUGUAGGGGAGUGCCACAAACCAUCAUCCUUCCUGUCUCUGCCAUGCCAGA